Non-coding RNA from Chiloscyllium plagiosum (whitespotted bambooshark), 845 nucleotides. The record is from RefSeq and is a predicted model, not a curated record. NCBI's taxonomy places the organism in Eukaryota, Metazoa, Chordata, Chondrichthyes, Orectolobiformes, Hemiscylliidae.
CAACACAAAUUUUAAUGUACGUGUUAGUAAUUCUCAGCAAAUGUUACACUUCCAUUUCUACUAUUCUAGUAUUAAUUUAGACAUACGAACAGCUGAUAAAAGAACAAUUACAAUUAACUUGGCAGUUUAAUGUGAUUGCUUGCAAGUUGGCCUUUAUUUUAACAUUUUCCUCUGUGAGUGUUACUGGGAAUGUAAUUUGUGUUUUUCCUUCAAUCAACGCAGUUUAAAAUUGAAUAAUCUCACAGAUGGCUGCGUGGAAAUCUUAAUCUCUGCUCUUCGUGAAAAUACUGUGCUGUUAAAAAUGGACAUCAGCAAUGAUGAUCUAAAUGGUGACCAUGCCAACAGGCUGACAGAUCAAUCUGUUCCUGCACUAUGCCAGUUCAUUCAGAGUUGCACACAAAUGACUGAAAUCAACUUGAAGAACAAUCUAUUCUCUGCGAAAGGACUGAAAAGGUUGAAGUGGAUUCAUGCAUCAAAUGAUUUAACUGUAAUAACAGAAUGAAAGAGGCAAACCUGAUGACGAUUGUGAUUCUUUUCAAAGGAAACUGUGGCCUUUCCAAGUGUAUCUCUGUCUACAUGGUAGCCAUGGCAACAGCAGAUCUAUUGGUGAUGCUCAUCAAUGUGAUGCUAUAUCACAUUUUCACCUUUCAUUUUCCAUUUUCAUUAUUGGCCUUAACUCCCAUUUGCAAGAUAAUUUUAUAUUUAACCUCCGUCACCAUCGACUUGUCCGUUUGGUUCACCGUCAGCUUCACAUUUGACAGGUUUGUAAUUAUCUGCUGCCAAAAGCUUAGAACAAGCCAUUGCACCCAGAAAACUGCAGUGACCGUUACAGUAUCAUUCUGUGU